RNAcentral lists this ribosomal RNA (901 nucleotides) under uncultured Acidobacteriota bacterium. RNAcentral describes it as "bacterial SSU rRNA". It matches the Rfam family "Bacterial small subunit ribosomal RNA", at positions 58 to 952 of the family's 1533-position model. Lineage: Bacteria; Pseudomonadati; Acidobacteriota. The record is from RNAcentral.
CAAGUCGAACGAGAAAGUUCCCCGCAAGGGGGACGAGUAAAGUGGCAGACGGGUGAGUAACACGUGAACAAUCUACCCUCGAGUGGGGAAUAACCCCGCGAAAGCGGGGCUAAUACCGCAUAACACUUCUGGGACGCAUGUCCUGGAGAUCAAGGGCUUCGGUCGCUUGAGGAGGAGUUCGCGCCUGAUUAGCUAGUUGGUGAGGUAACGGCCCACCAAGGCAACGAUCAGUAGCCGGCCUGAGAGGGCGUACGGCCACACUGGAACUGAGACACGGUCCAGACUCCUACGGGAGGCAGCAGUGGGGAAUUUUGCGCAAUGGGCGAAAGCCUGACGCAGCAACGCCGCGUGGAGGAUGAAGGCCUUCGGGUCGUAAACUCCUGUCAGGGGGGACGAAACGUCCCGCGCAAGCGGGAUUUGACUGUACCCCCGGAGGAAGCCACGGCUAACUCCGUGCCAGCAGCCGCGGUAAUACGGAGGUGGCUAGCGUUGUUCGGAAUUACUGGGCGUAAAGGGCGCGUAGGCGGCAUUGCAAGUCAGAUGUGAAAGCCCCGGGCUUAACUCGGGAACUGCAUCUGAAACUGCUUUGCUUGAGUCCUGGAGGGGGUAGUGGAAUUCCCAGUGUAGCGGUGAAAUGCGUAGAUAUUGGGAGGAACACCUGCGGCGAAGGCGGCUACCUGGACAGUGACUGACGCUGAGGCGCGAAAGCUAGGGGAGCGAACGGGAUUAGAUACCCCGGUAGUCCUAGCCGUAAACGAUGGGCACUUGGUGUUGGGGGUAUUGAGUCCCUCGGUGCCGGAGUUAACACGUUAAGUGCCCCGCCUGGGGAGUACGGUCGCAAGACUGAAACUCAAAGGAAUUGACGGGGGCCCGCACAAGCGGUGAACAUGUGGUUCAAUUC